AAUGAACGCUGGCGGCAGGCUUAACACAUGCAAGUCGAGCGAGCGGCGGACGGGUGAGUAAUGUCUGGGAAACUGCCUGAUGGAGGGGGAUAACUACUGGAAACGGUAGCUAAUACCGCAUACCAUCAGAUGUGCCCAGAUGGGAUUAGCUAGUAGGUGGGGUAAUGGCUAACCUAGGCGACGAUCCCCAGCUGGUCUGAGAGGGUGACCGGCCACACUGGAACUGAGACACGGUCCAGACUCCUACGGGAGGCAGCAGUGGGGAAUAUUGCGCAAUGGGCGCAAGCCUGAUGCAGCCAUGCCGCGUGUGUGAAGAAGGCCUUCGGGUUGUAAAGCACUUUCAGCGGGGAAGCGUUACUCACAGAGAAAGCACCGGCUAACUCCGUGCCAGCAGCCGCGGUAAUAC
RNAcentral lists this ribosomal RNA (406 nucleotides) under uncultured bacterium. RNAcentral's name for it is "partial 16S ribosomal RNA". It matches the Rfam family "Bacterial small subunit ribosomal RNA", at positions 29 to 526 of the family's 1533-position model. The record is from RNAcentral.